UACGUAGGGGGCAAGCGUUGUCCGGAUUUAUUGGGCGUAAAGAGCGUGUAGGCGGCUUGGUAGGUCCGCUGUGAAAACUCGAGGCUCAACCUCGAGAUGUCGGCGGAAACCACUUGGCUAGAGUCCGGAAGAGGAGAGUGGAAUUCCUGGUGUAGCGGUGAAAUGCGCAGAUAUCAGGAAGAACACCUAUGGCGAAGGCGGUCUGCUGGGGUCGAACUGACGCUGAGGCGCGACAGCGUGGGGAGCAAACAGG
This 253-nucleotide ribosomal RNA is filed under the name uncultured bacterium. RNAcentral's name for it is "partial 16S ribosomal RNA". It matches the Rfam family "Bacterial small subunit ribosomal RNA", at positions 524 to 776 of the family's 1533-position model. The record is from RNAcentral.